RNAcentral lists this ribosomal RNA (497 nucleotides) under uncultured bacterium. Its description in RNAcentral is "partial 16S ribosomal RNA". It matches the Rfam family "Bacterial small subunit ribosomal RNA", at positions 28 to 507 of the family's 1533-position model. The record is from RNAcentral.
GAUGAACGCUGGCGGCGUGCCUAAUACAUGCAAGUCGAGCGAACGGACGAGAAGCUUGCUUCUCUGAUGUUAGCGGCGGACGGGUGAGUAACACGUGGAUAACCUACCUAUAAGACUGGGAUAACUUCGGGAAACCGGAGCUAAUACCGGAUAAUAUUUUGAACCGCAUGGUUCAAAAGUGAAAGACGGUCUUGCUGUCACUUAUAGAUGGAUCCGCGCUGCAUUAUCUAGUUGAUAAGGUAACGGCUUACCAAGGCAACGAUGCAUAGCCGACCUGAGAGGGUGAUCGGCCACACUGGAACUGAGACACGGUCCAGACUCCUACGGGAGGCAGCAGUAGGGAAUCUUCCGCAAUGGGCGAAAGCCUGACGGAGCAACGCCGCGUGAGUGAUGAAGGUCUUCGGAUCGUAAAACUCUGUUAUUAGGGAAGAACAUAUGUGUAAGUAACUGUGCACAUCUUGACGGUACCUAAUCAGAAAGCCACGGCUAACUACGUG